RNAcentral lists this ribosomal RNA (659 nucleotides) under uncultured actinomycete. Its description in RNAcentral is "bacterial SSU rRNA". It matches the Rfam family "Bacterial small subunit ribosomal RNA", at positions 232 to 885 of the family's 1533-position model. The record is from RNAcentral. Lineage: Bacteria; Bacillati; Actinomycetota; Actinomycetes; Actinomycetales.
CGCGGCCUAUCAGCUUGUUGGUGAGGUAACGGCUCACCAAGGCUUACGGGUAGCCGGACUGAGAGGUUGACCGGCAACACUGGGACUGAGACACUGCCCAGACUCCUACGGGAGGCUGCAGUCGAGAAUCUUUUACAAUGGGCGAAAGCCUGAUAAUGCGACGCCGCGUGCGGGAUGAAGGCCUUCGGGUUGUAAACCGCUGUCGGGGGUUAGGAAAUGCGGGCAUGUAAAUAGCAUAUCCGCUUGACCGGCCUCAGAGGAAGCCAUGGCUAACUCCGUGCCAGCAGCCGCGGUAGUACGGAGAUGGCAAGCGUUGUUCGGAAUCACUGGGCAUAAAGGGCACGUAGGCGGGUUCGUAAGUCAGAUGUGAAAUCCCUCGGCUUAACCGGGGAACUGCGUUUGAUACUGCGGUCCUUGAGUACAGGAGGGGAGAGUGGAAUUCCUGGUGGAGCGGUGAAAUGCGUAGAUAUCAGGAAGAACGCCGGAGGCGAAAGCGACUCUCUGGCCUGUUACUGACGCUGAGGUGCGAAAGCCAAGGGAGCGAACAGGAUUAGAUACCCUGGUAGUCUUGGCUGUAAACGAUGGGCACUAAGUGGAGGAAACUCUGAUGUUUUCUCUGCUGAAGCUAACGUGAUAAGUGCCCCGCCUGGGGAGUACGG